Molecule: ribosomal RNA, 466 nt
Filed under: Penaeus japonicus
Lineage: Eukaryota; Metazoa; Arthropoda; Malacostraca; Decapoda; Penaeidae
Description: partial 16S ribosomal RNA
Rfam family: Bacterial large subunit ribosomal RNA
Source: RNAcentral
AGCCUGGCCACUGAUUUGUUUUAAAGGGCCGCGGUAUAUUGACCGUGCGAAGGUAGCAUAAUCAUUAGUCUUUUAAUUGGAGGCUUGUAUGAAUGGUUGGACAAAAAGUAAGCUGUCUCGGUUAUAAUAAUUGAACUUAACUUUUAAGUGAAAAGGCUUAAAUGUUUCAGGGGGACGAUAAGACCCUAUAAAGCUUGACAAUAAUUUCGUUAUAUUAUAAAUUGUUAGUAUAACUUGAUUUUAACGGGAGUUUGUUUCGUUGGGGCGACGGGAAUAUAAUAAAUAACUGUUCUUUUAAAUAUAAUUACAAAAAUACUUGGUAAAUAAUUGAUCCUCUAUUAGAGAUUAAAAGAUUAAGUUACUUUAGGGAUAACAGCGUAAUCUUCUUUGAGAGUCCACAUCGACAAGAAGGUUUGCGACCUCGAUGUUGAAUUAAGGUAUCCUUAUAAUGCAGCAGUUAUAAAGG